CACGAUGUGCUGCUGACCUUGUACCUGAGCUCCAGGCAGCUCAGCACAUCCGGGGCAUUGGGAGCAAACACUUCAGGCAGGAAAAAACGAAGCCGUGCACUUUCCAAUCGGUGCCUCUGGAUUCUCCACAGUGCCCUCUGCUCCCGACGAGCUGCCUCUGCAGACAACUUGCUAUAGUGGUCCACCAGUGCCUGCCUGAAGCCAUACCCAGAGUGGACACAGUCACCAGUCACUGCACUGUCUACGCUGAAAUUGUUCUCGCUUCCGGGCAUCCAAGGCCAUCUGCUCGGACAUCUGCCGGUCUGUGUUGGAAGGCAAGAGGAAGUCAUGAG
Urocitellus parryii (Arctic ground squirrel) is the source of this 332-nucleotide non-coding RNA. NCBI's taxonomy places the organism in Eukaryota, Metazoa, Chordata, Mammalia, Rodentia, Sciuridae. The record is from RefSeq and is a predicted model, not a curated record.